RNAcentral lists this ribosomal RNA (433 nucleotides) under uncultured bacterium. RNAcentral's name for it is "partial 16S ribosomal RNA". It matches the Rfam family "Bacterial small subunit ribosomal RNA", at positions 29 to 507 of the family's 1533-position model. The record is from RNAcentral.
AACGAACGCUGGCGGCAGGCCUAACACAUGCAAGUCGAGCGAGGACUUCGGUUCUAUCGGCUGACGGGUGAGUAACGCGUGGGAAUGUUCCCUUCUCUACGGACUGGCCCUGGGAAACUGGGAGUAAUACCGUAUACGCCCUAUUGGGGAAAGAUUUAUCGGAGAAGGAUCAGCCCGCGUUGGAUUAGGUAGUUGGUGGGGUAAUGGCCUCCCUAGCCGACGAUCCAUAGCUGGUUUGAGAGGAUGAUCAGCCACACUGGGACUGAGACACGGCCCAGAAUCCUACGGGAGGCAGCAGUGGGGAAUCUUAGACAAUGGGGGCAACCCUGAUGUAGCCAUGCCGCGUGAGUGAUGAAGGCCUUAGGGUUGUAAAGCUCUUUCAACUGGGAAGAUAAUGACGGUACCAUAAGAAGAAGCCCCGGCUAACUACGUG